This 72-nucleotide transfer RNA is filed under the name Ovis aries (sheep). It matches the Rfam family "tRNA". From Rfam's summary of the family: Transfer RNA (tRNA) molecules are approximately 80 nucleotides in length. Lineage: Eukaryota; Metazoa; Chordata; Mammalia; Artiodactyla; Bovidae. The record is from Rfam by way of RNAcentral.
UCCCUAGUGGUCCAGUGGUUAGGACUAGACACUUUCACUGUCGUGGACCAGGUUCAAUCCCUGAUUGGAGAA